GAUGAACGCUGGCGGCGUGCCUAAUACAUGCAAGUCGAGCGAACAGAUAAGGAGCUUGCUCCUUUGACGUUAGCGGCGGACGGGUGAGUAACACGUGGGUAACCUACCUAUAAGACUGGGAUAACUUCGGGAAACCGGAGCUAAUACCGGAUAACAUUUGGAACCGCAUGGUUCUAAAGUGAAAGAUGGUUUUGCUAUCUCUUAUAGAUGGACCCGCGCCGUAUUAGCUAGUUGGUAAGGUAACGGCUUACCAAGGCGACGAUACGUAGCCGACCUGAGAGGGUGAUCGGCCACACUGGAACUGAGACACGGUCCAGACUCCUACGGGAGGCAGCAGUGGGGAAUCUUCGGCAAUGGGCGAAAGCCUGACGGAGCAACGCCGCGUGAGUGAUGAAGGGUUUCGGCUCGUAAAACUCUGUUAUUAGGGAAGAACAAAUGUGUAAGUAACUGUGCACGUCUUGACGGUACCUAAUCAGAAAGCCACGGCUAACUACGUG
RNAcentral lists this ribosomal RNA (497 nucleotides) under uncultured bacterium. RNAcentral describes it as "partial 16S ribosomal RNA". It matches the Rfam family "Bacterial small subunit ribosomal RNA", at positions 28 to 507 of the family's 1533-position model. The record is from RNAcentral.